Molecule: ribosomal RNA, 409 nt
Filed under: uncultured bacterium
Lineage: Bacteria
Description: bacterial SSU rRNA
Rfam family: Bacterial small subunit ribosomal RNA
Source: RNAcentral
AUUGAACGCUGGCGGCGUGCUUAACACAUGCAAGUCGUGCGGUAACAGGCGUAGCAAUACGUGCUGACGAGCGGCGAACGGGUGCGUAAUACAUGGGAAUCUGCCCUUUAGUGGGGAAUAACCCGGCGAAAGCCGGGCUAAUGCCGCAUAAGAUCUUCGGAUGAAAGCGGGGGAUCGUAAGACCUCGCGCUGAUGGAUGAGCCCAUGUCGGAUUAGCAGUUGGUGAGGUAACGGCUCACCAAGGCGACGAUCCGUAGCUGGUCUGAGAGGACGGCCAGCCACACUGGGACUGAGACACGGCCCAGACUCCUACGGGAGGCAGCAGUGGGGAAUAUUGGACAAUGGGCGAAAGCCUGAUCCAGCGACGCCGCGUGUGUGAAGAAGGCCUGCGGGUUGUAAAGCACUUUCG